GUUCUCACUUCAGUAGCAUAUAUACUAAAAUUGGAAUGAUACAGAUAUUAGCAUGGCCCCUGCACAGGGAUGGCAUGCAAAUUCAUGAAGCAUUCCAUUUAAAA
This is a small nuclear RNA of Marmota flaviventris (yellow-bellied marmot), 104 nucleotides long. The record is from RefSeq and is a predicted model, not a curated record. NCBI's taxonomy places the organism in Eukaryota, Metazoa, Chordata, Mammalia, Rodentia, Sciuridae.